AUGGUAGCCCGGUGGUGGCUGCUACUGCUCGGCCUCGCCGCCGACGUGCUUCAAGUUGGCGGCCAGCGCGCGCCGGACACCACGGGUUUCAUCAGCAUCGACUGUGGCCUGUCGGAGCAGAGCAGCUACGUGGAUGACCUCACCAAACUGCUCCUCAGCUCGGACGCCGGCUUCACCGACGCAGGCACCAACUACGACGUCUCAGCCCGGUAUACGAACCUGUUGUACAGACGCUUCCUCACCGUCCGGAGCUUCCCCAGCUCGGUGGACGGCCGCAGCUGCUACACCCUGCCGUCCGCCGUGCCAGGGACGUCCAAGUACAUGGUCCGGGCAGCGUUCAAGUACGGCGACUACGAUGGGCUCAACAAGCUCCCCAUCUUCGACCUCUACCUCGGUGUCAACCUGUGGCGGACGGUGAACAUCACGGAUGCUGGCUUGGUGCAGAUCGCCGAGGCCAUCGUCGUUAUCCCGGAGGACAGAGUGCAGGUUUGCAUGGUGAACAUCGGCUCAGGGACGCCGUUCAUCUCCACCCUAGACUUGAGGCCUCUCAAGAAUAGUCUCUACCCGCAAGCGAACGCGACCCAGGGCCUCUCCAUGAUCUUCACGGGUAAUUUCGGUGCGUCGGAUGUGAUCAGAUACCCGAACGAUCCAUACGACCGUUUAUGGGUCCCGUGGUGGUCCGUGGUCCUGUGGUCGGGCGUGUUCGGACAUGGCAACUUCCAGGGCGACCAGGAUGGCAAAUUCGAAGUACCCGCCGUCGUGAUGAAGACUGCCAUCACUCCAUUCAACCCCUCCGACAACAUCUCUUGCUCCAGCCAAGCCCGCCGGUUCAACGUCGGCUACAACAACCAUCUUUCGAUGUCCAACUACGAGCCGUCGUACCUCAAGCUCGGCUAUAACAACAUUGAACCCGUUCAGUUCUUCAACCAGUACAACGUCACCAUAUCCAGGGCGCCAAACUCCACACUGCCGCCCAUCAUCAACGCCUGCGAGUUUUUCUCCACCAUGUCUACCGCCAAUGUUGGCACAAACGCUCAUGAUGAUCUUCCUUUCUCCCCAGUUCUGCUGCUGCUGCUGCAGACACAAUGUCUCAGUGCUUCUGCCAUGAUUGCAAUCAAGGCCAAGUAUCAGGUGAAGAAGAACUGGGAGGGUGAUCCAUGUUCUCCAAAGACUCUCGUGUGGCAUGGUUUGAACUGCAGCUACCCCAUUUCUCUACCUCCAAGAAUUACAAGCGUAAAUAUGUCAUUCGGCGGUUUGGGUGGUGAUAUAUCAUCUUAUUUCGCCAAACUCAAAGCUAUCCAAUAUUUGGAUUUGUCACACAAUGAAUUGACGGGAUUCAUUCCUAAUGAGCUUUCACAACUGCACUCCCUUGUGGUGUUGUAA
RNAcentral lists this ribosomal RNA (1383 nucleotides) under Triticum aestivum (bread wheat). RNAcentral describes it as "partial small subunit ribosomal RNA". Lineage: Eukaryota; Viridiplantae; Streptophyta; Magnoliopsida; Poales; Poaceae. The record is from RNAcentral.